Molecule: unclassified non-coding RNA, 204 nt
Filed under: Hevea brasiliensis (rubber tree)
Lineage: Eukaryota; Viridiplantae; Streptophyta; Magnoliopsida; Malpighiales; Euphorbiaceae
Source: RNAcentral
AAACAGUAUGAUGAGUGAAAAAUGGUCGGGCAUUAAGUUACCAUGGUUAAGAGGACUUAAUCAAAAUUGUUAGGUGCUAGGGAGGUUUAGUGCAAAAGCAUACAGUUUGCUGAAACAAGGAGAUGCAUGAUGCCUUGUUUGGUUCAUUGACACUUUGGUUGUUCUCUGGUGGAUGGCUUUCCAUGCUAUUAUAGGAUUGGGAUG